Molecule: long non-coding RNA, 2914 nt
Organism: Hippopotamus amphibius kiboko
Lineage: Eukaryota; Metazoa; Chordata; Mammalia; Artiodactyla; Hippopotamidae
Exons: 3
Source: RefSeq, a predicted model, not a curated record
CAGUGUUACAUGAAUGGCCUCAAUGAAUCACACAUUAAUAUAUUAUAUCUAUUCACAUCCUUGUGUAACUCCCUCCCACACUGACUCUGAGCUUGGCCACAUGACGUGCUUUGGCUAACAAAAUAUUAGCCAAUGAGUCACAAGCAGAAGCAUAAAAGGCCCUGUGCUCUGAGGUUUGUGCUCUCUCUCUGUCUCUCAUUGCAGGGAACUUUUCUGCUAUCACAAGAAGAAGCCUGGCUAGUCUACUGGAAGAUGAGACCACACGGAACAGACACAAGUCAUCCCAGCUGAGACACCAAAGCAGCCAGGCCCCAGCUGACCCACCAGCAGGCUGCAGCUGCAUGAGUGAUCCAGCUGAGGCCAGAAGACCUGCUCAGCUGAGCCCAGGUCAACUUGCUGACCUGCAGAAUUGAUGAAUCUUCAGAAGCUUUGAGGGAAAUCACUGUAAGACAAAAAAGAAAUGGCAUAGCAUGAAGUGGAGUAGCUUAUGGAACUGGCCCACCUCAGUCCAAAAGAAUAACAUAUGUGCAGCUAUUUUAUGGGAAACUGCAGCAACUUUGUUUGGCAUAUGGUGAUCAGCAACACCAGUCAUCAUCUUAUCUGUUCCUACAAGAAAGAAAAAUUUUUACAUGAAUUCUGCCAGAGCUUUCAAAAUUUUCCCAAGGUUCUGCGUAGCUAUCUUGUUUCAGCUGCUAAUCCCGUGCUAUCUCAAAGUGAAUGCGAUACAUUGUCAAGCCACAUGUCUGAGUCCACAGACCACGGCCAAUGCCCUGCCCAAGGUGGCCUCUGUCUUGCCACGUGCUCAGAGCCCAGCCUCUCAGCCAAGAGCUAAUGUGGAGGUGGGCAGUGUGCAUCCCUUGGGAAGGUUCAUGACUCCAGUUGCUGGGAGGGAUGCCAGCCCUGCUUCCAGGAGAGCCUUGCCUGUUCCAUCCUUCCUGUACCCAGGGGUCUUGUGAGGGAGGGUGGUACAAGUACCACCUCCUCCCAUAAGGUGCGGGGCCUAGGAGGAAGGUAGUGCAACUGAUCAGAGAAGCAGAAGGAAGCCCAAUUUGGCCUCAGCACCAAACCCCUCUUCUCAAUACAGCUUUAUCAGAAACAAAGUGGGCGUUUUGAUUUCUGACUCCUAUGCCCAUUUAUCAAUCGCUCUGGCCACAGUAUAAAAGCAAAGUAAAGAGCACUCAAAAGCUGUCAUUAACUGAUCUACUGACUGUUUUGUAAUUUCUUGGGGACCCCAGCACCCAGUGGGCAGAGUCUGGCUGCCCUUCUGGUGAGGUGGUGGCCGGGAUAACCAAGCAGCAGGCCGUCCUGGGUCCCUCCCCAAGGGAGUAGAAUCAGAUGAAAUCUAAGAAGGGGCAGGUUUGUGAGAGCCACCACGUCUCGGGCCUCUUGUUGAAAGUGGCUGCAGGAUCAAACAGUCUGGACACAGCCCAAAGGCACCGAGACAAAACGAUCCUAUCAGCCUCAUGUCUGGAGGAAGCAGGUUGGAAAGAAAGAAUCUUAGUCCAGUCCCCUUUGCUGGGACCUGCAGGGAAACUAUAACUCAGAGAGGUGUGAAAACUGAGAUCCUUGAUUUUUGACUUGGACAGAAAGUCCCACCAACUCUCCUGGGGACACUGUGUUUCACAGGCUGUGGCAGACCAUGUCCCCUGAGUGCAUGCCAAGACCCUGUGACAAAGCCCUCCGGCCGAGGGACCUCCCAUUCCCUUCCUGGUCUCCAGUUCACCGAUGAUACAGACACCUUUAUCUGAGCCUGCAGUGAAUGACUGACCCCCGUCAUCCAUGGAACAGAUGGCUCAUGACUUUUAGAAGCCCUGGGAAGGCUCCCCUUCUCCCAAAAUUCUUUCCUGUCUGCUCACCUAUGCCUCCAAUUCCUUUAACAAAGUAUCCUAUAAUUAAAGGAGCUUAAAUGGCAACCAUGGGUUACAUCCAAAGCAAGGUGCACAUCUGUGACACAGAAUGCCUUCCGGAAGGCAGAGCUGAUGAGAGGAGUGCAGGGAGGACCCUGGAACAGAAGCGUGAGGAGGCCGCAGAGGGCAGCAGCACGGAUGCGGGAAAGACUGGCCCCAAGUUUGAGAGACACGUCUUCACCCUCCUAUUUCCACCACUGGUUGGUCCGGGCUGAAGCACUCUCCCGGAUUCUCCAGCUCUUGACAGUAGAGGGUGUUACCUUCACUGAGCACCCGAAGACCAAGAUCUCUAAAACUUCAGUGUGUAGGAGAAUUAAUUGGGCCUCUUGUUAAAAUGGAGAUUCCCAGGCAUGACCCCUGAGCUUGUGGUUUAAGGACUUUGGGGAGAUCCUGGGAAUCUGAGUGAUUAGGGAGCACACAGUCGUGGAAAUUCUGAGGCUCGAGGUCCCAGGACCCCACGUGGAGAAGCCCUGCCUCACACACUCCUAGUACAGAGGGAGGUGGGUGCCGAGUCCCAAAAGACAUGGGAGAGGGGAUUCAGGUCGUGAGGAGACAGACCCUGGGCCUCAGUCUCCCGUCCCGUCCAGGGUAGGGUCCAGAACUCAAAACUCAACCAAUGCUCUUCAAUUUAAUCCAGGAAAAGCAAAAGUAACAGCAAAGCCUAAGGAAUGAGCCUAUCACAUAAGUGUUGUUUACAAAGGACUCCAGAAGGGCCCCUUAAUAACAUGUCUCAGUGCAGAGAAAUACCAGGUGAAGAACACAGCUUUCAAGAACGUUAUUUUCAAAAGAGCAGACUGUCUCCAGGGGCUGAUGUGUCUCCCCAAGUGGCCGACUCAAACGUGGAAACGGGAGUGAAUUUGAGUCAGAGAGGCCUUCCUCCAAUAAUUGUCUAACAAUUCACACCCUCUCUCCCCGCUGAAUGUGUUGCCUUAGAACACAUCACUACGCUUUACUCAUCUGUCCUGUUCAUUACCCGCCUCCCCCAGCUGAAGGGAAGUUCCAUGCGG